This 371-nucleotide ribosomal RNA is filed under the name uncultured bacterium. RNAcentral's name for it is "bacterial SSU rRNA". It matches the Rfam family "Bacterial small subunit ribosomal RNA", at positions 527 to 896 of the family's 1533-position model. The record is from RNAcentral.
GUAGGGGGCAAGCGUUGUCCGGAUUCAUUGGGCGUAAAGAGCGUGUAGGCGGUCAGGUAGGUCGGUUGUGAAAACUGGAGGCUCAACCUUCAGAGGUCGACCGAAACCCCCUGGCUAGAGUCCGGGAGAGGAGAGUGGAAUUCCUGGUGUAGCGGUGAAAUGCGCAGAUAUCAGGAAGAACACCCGUGGCGAAAGCGGCUCUCUGGAACGGUACUGACGCUGAGACGCGAAAGCGUGGGGAGCGAACAGGAUUAGAUACCCUGGUAGUCCACGCCGUAAACGAUGGGCGCUAGGUGUGGGAGGUGUCGACUCCUCCCGUGCCGCAGCUAACGCAUUAAGCGCCCCGCCUGGGGAGUACGGCCGCAAGGCUA